UUGGGGAUUUAUAUAAAAGGUUGGGCCUGCCCGGUGAUCUGAAAUGGUUUUACGGCUGCGAUUGAAACCGUACUAAGGUAGCAUAAUAAUUUGCCCUUUAAUUGGGGGAGAGAAUGAAUGGUUUGACGGUAAAAAAGCUGUUUUAAAAAUAAAAAAAGAAGUUAACUUUUAAGUGAAAAGGCUUAAGUUUUUAUAAAAGACGAGAAGACCCCGUCGAGCUUAAUUAGAAUAACUUAAAUGUAGGUUAUUUAAAAUUUUAUUGGGGCAAUAGAAAAUGAAAUGAAUCAUUUUUUUUAUUAUAAGGAUCCAGUUUUGACUGAAAAAAGCAAAAGCUACCGCGGGGAUAACAGGGUAAUUUUUUCUGAGAGUUCAUAUUUAAGAAGAAGUUUGCUACCUCGAUGUUGGAUUAAAAUUUCUUUAUGCUUGCAGCAGGUAUAAUAGU
Molecule: ribosomal RNA, 442 nt
Filed under: Corbicula sp. 64Sao2
Lineage: Eukaryota; Metazoa; Mollusca; Bivalvia; Venerida; Cyrenidae
Also listed under: 1 other name
Description: partial 16S ribosomal RNA
Rfam family: Bacterial large subunit ribosomal RNA
Source: RNAcentral